RNAcentral lists this ribosomal RNA (497 nucleotides) under uncultured bacterium. RNAcentral describes it as "partial 16S ribosomal RNA". It matches the Rfam family "Bacterial small subunit ribosomal RNA", at positions 28 to 507 of the family's 1533-position model. The record is from RNAcentral.
GAUGAACGCUGGCGGCGUGCCUAAUACAUGCAAGUCGAGCGAACGGACGGGAAGCUUGCUUCUCUGAUGUUAGCGGCGGACGGGUGAGUAACACGUGGAUAACCUACCUAUAAGACUGGGAUAACUUCGGGAAACCGGAGCUAAUACCGGAUAAUAUUUUGAACCGCAUGGUUCAAAAGUGAAAGACGGUCUUGCUGUCACUUAUAGAUGGAUCCGCGCUGCAUUAGCUAGUUGGUAAGGUAACGGCUUACCAAGGCAACGAUGCAUAGCCGACCUGAGAGGGUGAUCGGCCACACUGGAACUGAGACACGGUCCAGACUCCUACGGGAGGCAGCAGUAGGGAAUCUUCCGCAAUGGGCGAAAGCCUGACGGAGCAACGCCGCGUGAGUGAUGAAGGUCUUCGGAUCGUAAAACUCUGUUAUUAGGGAAGAACAUAUGUGUAAGUAACUGUGCACAUCUUGACGGUACCUAAUCAGAAAGCCACAGCUAACUACGUG